RNAcentral lists this long non-coding RNA (778 nucleotides) under Homo sapiens (human). Its description in RNAcentral is "non-protein coding TEX41:47". The record is from RNAcentral. Lineage: Eukaryota; Metazoa; Chordata; Mammalia; Primates; Hominidae.
CCUCGUAAGAACUUCCAUUUUAUGUUCUUGUCUUCUCAUCAGUUUGAGUUGUGUCUUUAACAUUGGAGAGAAAAACAACUUGCAAGAUUUUCUUUCAGUAUGAACCAUUCUGAGGUCCUUCAAUUCUUUAGCUGAUUACCAACUCCUACCACUGUUAACCCUCAUCCAGGAACAAGCUUAUGUCUUUAACAUUCUGAGUGGGCUUCAGCAUCCUUGCAUAUGUUCAAUUCUUAAAAACCUGUUGAAAUAAAAGAUCAGGAGACAUAGGAAGGAUGCCAGAAGAGAGCGUGGCCUCACGUGUACCAGCUCUCUGCUCUCCUUUGCCUUGGGACGUUCCAUCCCUGGAAGUUUCCCUGCCCACAUCUUUGUAGAGAGUCCAUUCUCCAAGCUUCAGUGUGUCAUCUGUGAGGACCGUGACCCACCUGGUACAUCGCCUCAGGGCAUUCAUUUCAGGCUCCUUCUAAAUGGCCAAGGUAAACCUCAGGUUCUCCUCCUGCCUUUUGCUAAGUAUAUGUCUUGAUGACAAGCCUUCUGCUGAUGAGCUGUGUUUCUGGACCGAUCAUGGUAGAAGUCAAUUAACGUGUCCCUCACUUGGGGUUUCUCAAGGCUGCACUGAUGAGGAAACUGAAACAGAAAAUCCAGAGUAAAUUCCACCAGGCCACACAGCAAGGUCUGAUAGAGCCAGGAGAGACUUUAUGAAAUCCAGACUCUCACACUAAUGCUCUAUCAGCUAGACCUCCAUGUGAGUCUCCCCAAUGUAGGUAGGAAGUGCUUUCCC